Molecule: ribosomal RNA, 444 nt
Filed under: uncultured bacterium
Lineage: Bacteria
Description: bacterial SSU rRNA
Rfam family: Bacterial small subunit ribosomal RNA
Source: RNAcentral
AACGCGAAGAACCUUACCUGGGCUAGACAACGGCGGACCGCCUGAGAAAUCAGGUUUUCCCUUCGGGGACUGCCGGUUCAGGUGUUGCAUGGCUGUCGUCAGCUCGUGUCGUGAGAUGUUGGGUUAAGUCCCGCAACGAGCGCAACCCUUGUCCUAUGUUGCCAGCGGGUAAAGCCGGGGACUCGUAGGAGACUGCCGGGGUCAACUCGGAGGAAGGUGGGGAUGAUGUCAAGUCUGCAUGCCCCUUACGCGUAGGGCUGCUAACAUGCUACAAUGGCCGGUACAAAGGGCUGCUAAUCCGCGAGGAGGAGCGAAUCCCAAAAAGCCGGUCUCAGUUCGGAUUGGAGUCUGCAACCCGACUCCAUGAAGUCGGAGUCGCUAGUAAUCCCGGAUCAGCUACGCCGGGGUGAAUACGUUCCCGGGCCUUGUACACACCGACUGUAC